GCCAGUGUGGCAUAGUGGUUGAAGCACUGGAAUUUGACUCUGGAGACCAGGAUUCAAAUCCCUACUCAGUCA
Molecule: non-coding RNA, 72 nt
Organism: Phrynosoma platyrhinos (Desert horned lizard)
Lineage: Eukaryota; Metazoa; Chordata; Lepidosauria; Squamata; Phrynosomatidae
Source: the annotation of a GenBank genome assembly